GUGGCUCCGCACCGCGUUGUGGGCGAUGG
RNAcentral lists this small RNA (29 nucleotides) under Bombyx mori (domestic silkworm). Its description in RNAcentral is "ovarian small RNA-17917". Lineage: Eukaryota; Metazoa; Arthropoda; Insecta; Lepidoptera; Bombycidae. The record is from RNAcentral.